UGGAUGAUGUGGAUUAUUCGAUGCAACGCGAAAACCUUACCUACCCUUUGACAUGUCUGGAACCUUGGUGAGAGCCGAGGGUGCCUUCGGGAGCCAGAACACAGGUGCUGCAUGGCUGUCGUCAGCUCGUGUCGUGAGAUGUUGGGUUAAGUCCCGCAACGAGCGCAACCCUUGUCACUAGUUGCCAUCAUUUGGUUGGGCACUCUAGUGAGACUGCCGGUGACAAACCGGAGGAAGGUGGGAUGACGUCAAAUCAUCAUGCCCUUUAUGACCUGGGCUACACACGUGCUACAAUGGCCUAUACAAAGGGUAGCGAAGCUGUGAGGUGGAGCCAAUCCCAAAAGUAGGUCUCAGUUCGGAUUGUAGGCUGCAACUCGCCUACAUGAAGUCGGAAUCGCUAGUAAUCGCAGAUCAGCACGCUGCGGUGAAUACGUUCCCGGGCCUU
RNAcentral lists this ribosomal RNA (445 nucleotides) under uncultured Thauera sp. RNAcentral describes it as "bacterial SSU rRNA". It matches the Rfam family "Bacterial small subunit ribosomal RNA", at positions 933 to 1382 of the family's 1533-position model. The record is from RNAcentral. Lineage: Bacteria; Pseudomonadati; Pseudomonadota; Betaproteobacteria; Rhodocyclales; Zoogloeaceae.